GGGGUGGUAGCUUAAUUGGUUAAAGCACCAGCCUGUCACGCUGGUGACUGCGGGUUCGAGUCCCGUCCAUCCCGCCA
RNAcentral lists this transfer RNA (77 nucleotides) under Cytophagia bacterium. Its description in RNAcentral is "tRNA-Asp". It matches the Rfam family "tRNA". From Rfam's summary of the family: Transfer RNA (tRNA) molecules are approximately 80 nucleotides in length. Lineage: Bacteria; Pseudomonadati; Bacteroidota; Cytophagia. The record is from RNAcentral.